RNAcentral lists this ribosomal RNA (253 nucleotides) under uncultured bacterium. Its description in RNAcentral is "partial 16S ribosomal RNA". It matches the Rfam family "Bacterial small subunit ribosomal RNA", at positions 524 to 776 of the family's 1533-position model. The record is from RNAcentral.
UACGUAGGGUGCAAGCGUUGUCCGGAAUUAUUGGGCGUAAAGAGCUCGUAGGCGGUCUGUUGCGUCGGCUGUGAAAACCCGGGGCUCAACCCCGGGCCUGCAGCCGAUACGGGCAGACUAGAGUUCGGCAGGGGAGACUGGAAUUCCUGGUGUAGCGGUGAAAUGCGCAGAUAUCAGGAGGAACACCGGUGGCGAAGGCGGGUCUCUGGGCAGUAACUGACGCUGAGGAGCGAAAGCGUGGGGAGCAAACAGG